Molecule: long non-coding RNA, 547 nt
Filed under: Ananas comosus (pineapple)
Lineage: Eukaryota; Viridiplantae; Streptophyta; Magnoliopsida; Poales; Bromeliaceae
Description: long non-coding RNA (ACOM_LNC004159)
Source: RNAcentral
UAAUUACAUCAACUCUACUUUGACAUUCCACCUUUUCACCGAGCGUUCCUAGCGCAAGUAGCAAAGGGUUUGAUGAUUGAUAUCCGAGGUCCCAAAUUCGAAUCCUAGUUGAUUUACAUUUCCAGCUAAGUUUAUUUCUAAAUAAAAUAAACAAAACGGGUAGCAUGCUAUCUAUCUCUAAAAAAAAAAAAGAAAAAAAAAAAGACAUUUCACCUUUUCGAAAGUCAUUGGGCUCGGAUAAAACUGAUAUACGCCCUUAGCCCUUCUAUUUGGAAAAGUAUUUUCAUGUAAUAAAUAUUCCAUAUAGAAUAUGCUUUAGUUGGUUCGGAUAUAAAUAAUAACGGUUUAUUUUCAAAAUAGAUAUAAAUACAGAUAUAAAUAGAAACUAAAUUAAUUUUAUAUUUGAAUGAAAAUUUUAUAUUAUUUGGGAAUACAAUAAAUGGUGUUUGAAUGGUUAGAUUGGAGUGAGAAAUAAAAGUUAUAAUUUAAAAUUAAAAAUAUUUUAUCUAAUUAAUUAAUAUCAAAAUAUUAGUUAAAAAUAAUUUAA